UACGAAGGGAGCUAGCGUUGUUCGGAAUCACUGGGCGUAAAGCGCACGUAGGCGGAUGUGUCAGUCAGGGGUGAAAUCCCGGAGCUCAACUUCGGAACUGCCUCUGAUACAGCACGUCUUGAGUCCGAGAGAGGUGGGUGGAAUUCCUAGUGUAGAGGUGAAAUUCGUAGAUAUUGGGAAGAACACCAGUGGCGAAGGCGGCCCACUGGCUCGGUACUGACGCUGAGGUGCGAAAGCGUGGGGAGCAAACAGG
This 253-nucleotide ribosomal RNA is filed under the name uncultured bacterium. RNAcentral describes it as "partial 16S ribosomal RNA". It matches the Rfam family "Bacterial small subunit ribosomal RNA", at positions 524 to 776 of the family's 1533-position model. The record is from RNAcentral.